RNAcentral lists this ribosomal RNA (482 nucleotides) under Fusarium solani. Its description in RNAcentral is "partial large subunit ribosomal RNA". It matches the Rfam family "Eukaryotic large subunit ribosomal RNA", at positions 66 to 559 of the family's 3401-position model. The record is from RNAcentral. Lineage: Eukaryota; Fungi; Ascomycota; Sordariomycetes; Hypocreales; Nectriaceae.
CAACAGGGAUUGCCCCAGUAACGGCGAGUGAAGCGGCAACAGCUCAAAUUUGAAAUCUGGCUCUCGGGCCCGAGUUGUAAUUUGUAGAGGAUGCUUUUGGUGAGGUGCCUUCCGAGUUCCCUGGAACGGGACGCCAUAGAGGGUGAGAGCCCCGUCUGGUUGGACACCGAUCCUCUGUAAAGCUCCUUCGACGAGUCGAGUAGUUUGGGAAUGCUGCUCUAAAUGGGAGGUAUAUGUCUUCUAAAGCUAAAUACCGGCCAGAGACCGAUAGCGCACAAGUAGAGUGAUCGAAAGAUGAAAAGAACUUUGAAAAGAGAGUUAAAAAGUACGUGAAAUUGUUGAAAGGGAAGCGCUUGUGACCAGACUUGGGCUUGGUUGAUCAUCCGGGGUUCUCCCCGGUGCACUCUUCCGGCCCAGGCCAGCAUCAGUUCGCCCUGGGGGAUAAAGGCUUCGGGAAUGUGGCUCUCUCCGGGGAGUGUUAU